GGGACACGUGGUAUCCUGUCUGAAUAUGGGGGGACCAUCCUCCAAGGCUAAAUACUCCUGACUGACCGAUAGUGAACCAGUACCGUGAGGGAAAGGCGAAAAGAACCCCGGCGAGGGGAGUGAAAAAGAACCUGAAACCGUGUACGUACAAGCAGUGGGAGCACGCUUAGGCGUGUGACUGCGUACCUUUUGUAUAAUGGGUCAGCGACUUAUAUUCUGUAGCAAGGUUAACCGAAUAGGGGAGCCGAAGGGAAACCGAGUCUUAACUGGGCGUUAAGUUGCAGGGUAUAGACCCGAAACCCGGUGAUCUAGCCAUGGGCAGGUUGAAGGUUGGGUAACACUAACUGGAGGACCGAACCGACUAAUGUUGAAAAAUUAGCGGAUGACUUGUGGCUGGGGGUGAAAGGCCAAUCAAACCGGGAGAUAGCUGGUUCUCCCCGAAAGCUAUUUAGGUAGCGCCUCGUGAAUUCAUCUCCGGGGGUAGAGCACUGUUUCGGCAAGGGGGUCAUCCCGACUUACCAACCCGAUGCAAACUGCGAAUACCGGAGAAUGUUAUCACGGGAGACACACGGCGGGUGCUAACGUCCGUCGUGAAGAGGGAAACAACCCAGACCGCCAGCUAAGGUCCCAAAGUCAUGGUUAAGUGGGAAACGAUGUGGGAAGGCCCAGACAGCCAGGAUGUUGGCUUAGAAGCAGCCAUCAUUUAAAGAAAGCGUAAUAGCUCACUGGUCGAGUCGGCCUGCGCGGAAGAUGUAACGGGGCUAAACCAUGCACCGAAGCUGCGGCAGCGACGCUUAUGCGUUGUUGGGUAGGGGAGCGUUCUGUAAGCCUGUGAAGGUGUGCUGUGAGGCAUGCUGGAGGUAUCAGAAGUGCGAAUGCUGACAUAAGUAACGAUAAAGCGGGUGAAAAGCCCGCUCGCCGGAAGACCAAGGGUUCCUGUCCAACGUUAAUCGGGGCAGGGUGAGUCGACCCCUAAGGCGAGGCCGAAAGGCGUAGUCGAUGGGAAACAGGUUAAUAUUCCUGUACUUGGUGUUACUGCGAAGGGGGGACGGAGAAGGCUAUGUUGGCCGGGCGACGGUUGUCCCGGUUUAAGCGUGUAGGCUGGUUUUCCAGGCAAAUCCGGAAAAUCAAGGCUGAGGCGUGAUGACGAGGCACUACGGUGCUGAAGCAACAAAUGCCCUGCUUCCAGGAAAAGCCUCUAAGCAUCAGGUAACAUCAAAUCGUACCCCAAACCGACACAGGUGGUCAGGUAGAGAAUACCAAGGCG
RNAcentral lists this ribosomal RNA (1267 nucleotides) under Escherichia coli. RNAcentral's name for it is "partial 23S ribosomal RNA". It matches the Rfam family "Bacterial large subunit ribosomal RNA", at positions 419 to 1688 of the family's 2925-position model. Lineage: Bacteria; Pseudomonadati; Pseudomonadota; Gammaproteobacteria; Enterobacterales; Enterobacteriaceae. The record is from RNAcentral.